Non-coding RNA from Oryza glaberrima (African rice), 207 nucleotides. NCBI's taxonomy places the organism in Eukaryota, Viridiplantae, Streptophyta, Magnoliopsida, Poales, Poaceae. The record is from Rfam.
AAUAAGUGUGGUUUUAGCAAUGUUUAUGUCUAACGUUUGACCGUUCGUCUUAUUUGAAAAAAAAUUAUGAUUAGUAUUUUUAUUGUUAUUACAUGAUAAAACAUGAGUAGUACUUUAUGUGACUAUUUUUUUAACUUUUUCAUAAGUUUUUUCAAAUAAGACGAACAAUUAAAACGCUAAACACGGAUAUCUAUGGCUCCACUUAUU